AUUGAACGCUGGCGGCAGGCCUAACACAUGCAAGUCGAACGGUAACAGGAAGAAGCUUGCUUCUUUGCUGACGAGUGGCGGACGGGUGAGUAAUGUCUGGGAAACUGCCUGAUGGAGGGGGAUAACUACUGGAAACGGUAGCUAAUACCGCAUAACGUCGCAAGACCAAAGAGGGGGACCUUCGGGCCUCUUGCCAUCGGAUGUGCCCAGAUGGGAUUAGCUAGUAGGUGGGGUAACGGCUCACCUAGGCGACGAUCCCUAGCUGGUCUGGGAGGAUGACCAGCCACACUGGAACUGAGACACGGUCCAGACUCCUACGGGAGGCAGCAGUGGGAAAUAUUGCACAAAGGGCGCAAGCCUGAUGCAGCCAUGCCGCGUGUAUGAAGAAGGCCUUCGGGUUGUAAAGUACUUUCAGCGGGGAGGAAGGGAGUAAAGUUAAUACCUUUGCUCAUUGACGUUACCCGCAGAAGAAGCACCGGCUAACUCCGUG
This 490-nucleotide ribosomal RNA is filed under the name uncultured bacterium. RNAcentral describes it as "partial 16S ribosomal RNA". It matches the Rfam family "Bacterial small subunit ribosomal RNA", at positions 30 to 507 of the family's 1533-position model. The record is from RNAcentral.